This 253-nucleotide ribosomal RNA is filed under the name uncultured bacterium. Its description in RNAcentral is "partial 16S ribosomal RNA". It matches the Rfam family "Bacterial small subunit ribosomal RNA", at positions 524 to 776 of the family's 1533-position model. The record is from RNAcentral.
UACAGGGGGGGCAAGCGUUGUUCGGAAUUACUGGGCGUAAAGGGUUCGUAGGUGGCCACCUAAGUCAGACGUGAAAUCCCUCAGCUUAACUGGGGAACUGCGUCUGAUACUGGGUGGCUUGAGUGCAGGAGAGGAAUGCGGAAUUCCAGGUGUAGCGGUGAAAUGCGUAGAUAUCUGGAGGAACACCGGUGGCGAAGGCGGCAUCCUGGACCGAGAUUGACGCUGAGGCGCGAAAGCUAGGGGAGCAAACGGG